RNAcentral lists this ribosomal RNA (327 nucleotides) under uncultured eukaryote. Its description in RNAcentral is "partial 18S ribosomal RNA". It matches the Rfam family "Eukaryotic small subunit ribosomal RNA", at positions 1470 to 1796 of the family's 1831-position model. The record is from RNAcentral.
CCCUUAGAUGUUCUGGGCCGCACGCGCGCUACACUGACGAAUGCAACGAGCUUAUAACCUUGGCCGAAAGGUCUGGGUAAUCUCCAAAUUUCGUCGUGAUGGGGAUAGAUUAUUGCAAUUAUUAAUCUUCAACGAGGAAUGCCUAGUAAGCGCAAGUCAUCAGCUUGCGUUGAUUACGUCCCUGCCCUUUGUACACACCGCCCGUCGCUCCUACCGAUUGAAUGGUCCGGUGAAGCGUUCGGACCGUGGCCUUUGGACGGUUCGCCGUCUGUUGGCUGCGGGAAGUUCGUUAAACCUUAUCACUUAGAGGAUGGAGAAGUCGUAACA